GAGGGGAUAGCUCAGUGGUAGAGUGCAUGCCUAGCAUGCACGAGGUCCCAGGUUCAAUCCCCUGUCCUUCCA
This 72-nucleotide transfer RNA is filed under the name Camelus bactrianus (Bactrian camel). It matches the Rfam family "tRNA". From Rfam's summary of the family: Transfer RNA (tRNA) molecules are approximately 80 nucleotides in length. RNAcentral also lists the same sequence under 2 other names. Lineage: Eukaryota; Metazoa; Chordata; Mammalia; Artiodactyla; Camelidae. The record is from Rfam by way of RNAcentral.